ACGGCCGUACCAUGCUGAAUAUACCGGUUCUCGUUAGAUCACCGAAGUUAAGCAUCAUUGGGCGCGGUCAGUACUUGGGUGGGUGACCACCUGGAAACACUGCGUGCCGUU
Molecule: ribosomal RNA, 111 nt
Filed under: Caerostris darwini
Lineage: Eukaryota; Metazoa; Arthropoda; Arachnida; Araneae; Araneidae
Source: RNAcentral